UCUAACCUGAGCUCAUGUUGGUUCAGCAGUAGGCAAAGUCCCAGACAGACAUGUCCACUUGGCCUCUCUCCUAAGCAGGGGAAUCAGGGCCAUAUUUCUCCAACCCUGCAACACGAGGGAACACACACACAGAGGCAGGGUUGUAAAUGUAAAGAUUUUCCAUGCAGCCACUAACCUUUACAUGUCAGAUAUCAUUUCUAGACAAAAUCACAAUGAACAUGUUCCCUCAAUGCAGAGGAGAGGGGUGAUCACAUGACGCUUGUCAACAGAGGUAGCAUUUACUAUCGAUAAGUUUGCUCUGCAGUAUUCAAAUUGGCAAUAACUUCAUGAAAAUGUCGGCUCAACCUUUACAUACGGCCACGAAUAGCAGCUGAAACACCUUGAUGUCACGUGACCGCUUCGCACCACUUAGAAACGGCUUUCAGAUCCUUCAGUGAAACAUGGUGGUACUGUCAGUUGACUGAAGAUAUUUUCCAGAGUUACAUCUUUCAAUGCUUUUUCUGUGUCAUUAUAUUAACCCACAGUGGCCUACUCAGAUAGAUGCAACAUUGUUCUUUUGAAUGGCGGUUAAAAAGAAUAGCAGCAGCAGGGGUAUGUACUACAACUAUUUAUCCUGCUUCCAGUCACUUUAUCCUAAUCCCCCACCUGCAUGUUCAUAUCUACCUCAAAUUACUCCAGUAUCCCUCCACAUUAAAAUGUGGUACUGAACACUGUCCCUGUAUACUACUUCCUCUUUUAUUUUGUAUUUUUUAUGAUAUCUUUUAUUAUUUAAGUUAUACUAUUUUGAUAUUGAUUACUGCAUUUUGGGGUAGGGCUUGCAAGUGAAGCAUUUCACUCUACUUGUGCAUGUGACAAUACAAGUUGAAUUUGAACUGUACUGUAUUACAUGAAUGGUAGCCCAGACUGGUCUUGUCAAGAGACGUUUUGUUGCAUACCGAUGCUCCAUGAGCUGCCAUGUUGUUGACCCCUGUCCCCCGGAACCCUGACCCCAGUCUUUGGACAGAAGAAGUCUGGAGUGGGGGAGUGGGGUCUAGACCCUGUUCUGGGGAGCACAAGGCCCUCUGGGGUCAAGGGUGAAUUCUCCAACCCACCAAGGAGAAUCUCAUUUAUAUCUACUUUUCAGAGGGAACAGCAUCACUAGUGAUGUCCUUCACAGCACAGAGAAUGGAUAAGUCCACAAACAAUGGAGACUCAUGACAGAACAAUAUAUGAAGUCCUCAAUCCAUAUCUCUGCAAUAGCUCUCCAUAGAGAAGGUCACCAUUGACACCUGGAUCCGGUCAACCAAAUGUGUUGACAUUCAUACUACAAUUGAGUGAAGCCAGAGUUCUUGCAAAGUUCAUUUGAGUAGCUAGCAAUGAUGAACAAGAGACAUGAUUGAUGAGGCAUUGCAUUACGGCAUUAAACACAUACUAUGAUCAUUUAGAAGAAAUGUGUUUACAUCGAUGGCUGAAGAUGUCUGUAUGGCAACACUGGAAUGGGUAUUUUCAUCCUACUGUCUAAACACAAUGUCUUAUGUCCACAGCCUUACAAUGGGUGUUAUCUUUAUCUCAAGUAUCUUUCCAGGGUCUCAGAGAGUUCUGUUGUGUGUCCAUGUGAUGGUCUGGCCUUCCUGACAGACGUCAACAGGAGACUGACAGCUGCCAGUUCUUAUAAAGCCUCCAUGUCAAACCAGGAUGAACACACACACACACACACGGAGGUACACACACAGACUCACCGACAAACACACACACACACACACACACACAUACACACACAGACACACACACACACCUACACAC
Oncorhynchus tshawytscha (Chinook salmon) is the source of this 1782-nucleotide long non-coding RNA. The record is from Ensembl. NCBI's taxonomy places the organism in Eukaryota, Metazoa, Chordata, Actinopteri, Salmoniformes, Salmonidae.